UACGUAGGGUGCGAGCGUUGUCCGGAAUUACUGGGCGUAAAGAGCUCGUAGGUGGUUUGUCGCGUUGUCCGUGAAAACUCACAACUCAAUUGUGGGCGUGCGGGCGAUACGGGCAGACUGGAGUACUGCAGGGGAGACUGGAAUUCCUGGUGUAGCGGUGGAAUGCGCAGAUAUCAGGAGGAACACCGGUGGCGAAGGCGGGUCUCUGGGCAGUAACUGACGCUGAGGAGCGAAAGCGUGGGGAUCAAACAGG
This 253-nucleotide ribosomal RNA is filed under the name uncultured bacterium. RNAcentral's name for it is "partial 16S ribosomal RNA". It matches the Rfam family "Bacterial small subunit ribosomal RNA", at positions 524 to 776 of the family's 1533-position model. The record is from RNAcentral.